GUAUGUAUGGUCGAAGUAGGCAAAGUCUCACCUUUCCAGCAGAUCAACAAUGAACUUUGUUGAAUAGAUGCCUGGAUUUUAUAAGGUUGAGAUCCGCAAGUUUCGAGUAAGAUUUUGCCUACUCCGCCCAUACCAUAC
RNAcentral lists this microRNA precursor (138 nucleotides) under Camelina sativa (false flax). RNAcentral describes it as "miR472 stem-loop (cas-MIR472)". Its record names the gene cas-MIR472. Lineage: Eukaryota; Viridiplantae; Streptophyta; Magnoliopsida; Brassicales; Brassicaceae. The record is from miRBase by way of RNAcentral.